Molecule: ribosomal RNA, 477 nt
Filed under: uncultured Flavobacterium sp.
Lineage: Bacteria; Pseudomonadati; Bacteroidota; Flavobacteriia; Flavobacteriales; Flavobacteriaceae
Description: bacterial SSU rRNA
Rfam family: Bacterial small subunit ribosomal RNA
Source: RNAcentral
UUUUAGAGUUGAUUCCUGGCUCAGGAUGAACGCUAGCGGCAGGCUUAACACAUGCAAGUCGAGGGGUAUAGGAAGCUUGCUGCCCAGAGACCGGCGCACGGGUGCGUAACGCGUAUGCAAUCUACCUUUUACAGGGGGAUAGCCCAGAGAAAUUUGGAUUAAUACCCCAUGGUAUUAUAGGAUGGCAUCAUCCUAUGAUUAAAGUCACAACGGUAAAAGAUGAGCAUGCGUCCCAUUAGCUAGUUGGUAAGGUAACGGCUUACCAAGGCAACGAUGGGUAGGGGUCCUGAGAGGGAGAUCCCCCACACUGGUACUGAGACACGGACCAGACUCCUACGGGAGGCAGCAGUGAGGAAUAUUGGACAAUGGGCGCAAGCCUGAUCCAGCCAUGCCGCGUGCAGGAUGACGGUCCUAUGGAUUGUAAACUGCUUUUGUACAGGAAGAAACCCUCUUUCGUGAAAGAGAUUGACGGACGAA